RNAcentral lists this ribosomal RNA (114 nucleotides) under Zingiber officinale. The record is from RNAcentral. Lineage: Eukaryota; Viridiplantae; Streptophyta; Magnoliopsida; Zingiberales; Zingiberaceae.
GCGAUUAUACCAGCACUAAUGCACCGGAUCACAUCAGAACUCCGAAGUUAAGUUUGCUUGGGCGAGAGCAGUACUAGGAUGGGUGACCCCUUGGGAAGUCCUCGUGUUGCACCU